Molecule: ribosomal RNA, 257 nt
Filed under: uncultured bacterium
Lineage: Bacteria
Description: partial 16S ribosomal RNA
Rfam family: Bacterial small subunit ribosomal RNA
Source: RNAcentral
UACGUAGGGGGCAAGCGUUGUCCGGAUUUAUUGGGCGUAAAGAGCGUGUAGGCGGCCAUACAGGUCCGUUGUGAAACUGGAGGCUUAACCUCCAGACGUCGAUGGAAACCGUAUGGGCUAGAGUCCGGAAGAGGAGAGUGGAAUUCCUGGUGUAGCGGUGGAAAUGCGCAGAUAUCAGGAGGAACACCGGUGGCGAAGGCGGCCUGCUGGGCCGUUACCUGACGCUGAGGAGCGAAAGCGUGGGGUAGCGAACAGGG